AGAGAGAGAGAGAGAGAGAGAGAGAGAGAGAGAGAGAGAGAGAGAGAGAGAUGAGGUUGAAAAUGUGAACAUCAUUCUUAUUGAACACUAUGACCAAUAGGACCUUCCAUCUUAUGACCUUCGACCCUUUCUCUAACUGGCUAUUAGAGUCGUAGUCACCCUUCUGCAAAUGAACAGAUCCAUUUUUUUUUCCAUAAGGAGAUAUUAUUGAUUUAUUAUUUGAUAUCAUGUGAAAAGAUUCAUGAAGAAUUCCAAGCACCUGCAGCAUAAUCUUUUGUUUCCCCCCUAGUGUUAGUCACACACACACACACACACACACCUGCAGCGUAAUUUUUCCCCCCCUCUAGUAUUAGUAGUCACACACACACAAACACACACACCUGCAGUGUUCUCUGCUGUACCUGCAGCAUCCAAGGCACUGACCCUCAGAGUUAUGAGACACACACACACACAGGAGUGAGUGGUACUUCAUCUCAGUUUGGGCUGUCAGACAGCAUCUGUGUGAGGGAUGUGUGGUCCAUCUGGGGAACUCACACACACACACACACACAGAUGACUGCUAUUGGAGAGGCUGGAUAUGUGGUGGGCUGCCCCAUCUGUGAAUGUUUCUGUAAAGUAAUGUCGUGUGUGUUUGUGCUUGUGUUGGAGAGAGUGUGUGUGUAGACCUAAUGUGUGAAAUAGCAUGUGUCUCUGUGCAGUGUGUGUGUGUGUGUGUGUGAGAGAGAGAGAGAGUAAUGCGAUGCUAAUGCGUGUAAAAUAAUGGAUGUGGAGGUGCCUUGGCUCUGCUCUGCUCUUCCUCCCAAACCACAUGGGCACUGACUGGGGCACUGCACUGACACACACACGCACACACACAGUGGGCUCCCUUACGCUGGCAUCCAGGUCCGCUCCCACCACGGCUGGCCUUUGGGCUGCGAGGUUGAAUUACACACACACACACACACACACACACUCACCAUGCACUCUCUCUCCUGCUCAAACAUGACACAUACACCACACUUUCUCAUCCUCACACACACACAGCUUGUGGGAGCCAUUUGGCUUUGAAGGCGACUGCAGUGCAGUGUGUGUGUGUUCUGUGUGGAUUUGCUGCAGUCUAAAGAGACGUUCAUUUCUUAACUCGGCUGCUGCUGCAGGGCACUCAGAAUCAGAAUCACAAUACAGGACGAUGCCAUUUCAUUGGCCACUUCCGUUAUUUGAUUGAGGAGAUGUGUGUGUGAUGUGUGUGUGUGUGUGUGUGCGUAUGUGUGUGUGCGUGUGUGUGUGUGUAGUGAUGCAGGGCCAGACGCAGCUGUUCCCAGGGCUGUCUGCUCCACACAAAUCUCCAUCAGAUAGUCAGUCCACAUUUAUGUUGCCUAGCAACUUUUAACAUGGUAAUUGUGGGAGUUUUGCUAUUGAGGAAAGUGUGUGUCUGUGUGUGGGCAUGAGUUCAGGUGUGUGUGUGUGUGUGUGAGUUGAUGGGUGGGCAUGCGUGCAGGUGUCAAUGUGCAUGCAGGUGUGUGUUUGAGUGUUUGUGCGCAGGCAUGCAUGACUUCUGUUCACACACUCAGUGUGUGUUAUGUUGUGGAGAGUGUGUGUGUCCCUCUUCACAGAGCACAUAAUGGCGGUGUGUGUGUGUGGCUUUGUGAGUAAAUGAGACUGCACUCCUACUUUACAUCAUCACCCUAGUCAGACCACACACACACACACACACAGUCUUCUAACAGCGUGCUGCGCUCCUCCCAUUUAACGCUUCUCCCCUCCCCUCUGCUGCAACACAACCCCCACCAAUCUGAGCAUGGAGAAGCUUUACCUUUUAAUUUUGUUUUAAUCACUAGAAAACAAAACAUUCAGCAAGAACCUCUCUCAAUCUCUCACCUGAGAAGCAGGGGAAUAUUCCAUGGGUUCUAGAACCCCUCUCUCAAUCUCAGAAGUCUAAGAGACAGGGGAACAUUCCAUUAGUUCUAGAACCUCUCUCUCAAUCUCACAACUCUGAAAGACAGGGGAACAUUCCAUGGGUUCUAGAACUGGAGCAAACUCAUUCCUGACUGGACACAGACCCCUAAAGCCCCUGCCAGUCACCCUCUACUGCCCUCUUCUGCCAGCAUUCCCUCUUACACACACACACACACACACACACACACACACACACACACACACACACAGAGAGAGUGAUUGAUGGUCAGUUUUGGCUCAGAGAGUCUGUGGGAGGGAAGGAGUCAUUGGUGCUGUUCUAGCUGAGGCCCGGAAAUUACUUUUUAUUAUGACAUGGGCCUUUCACCCAGAAGCAAUAAGACUCACUGGUCCAGUCAGACUCACGCUGACCACCAGGAAUAAUCUCUCCAGUAGCCCAGUGGACGCAGGAGACCAGGCUAUAGGCCCGAGGGGCAGCUAGUGUUUCGGGCUAAUGACUGGAAAGGAGUUGUUUUGUCCUAGACAUUCGUGUGUCUUGCUCCGAGCGUGUUUUGUCCUAGACAUUCACGUGUCUUGCUCCGAGCGUGUUUUGUCCUAGACAUUCACGUGUCUUGCUCCGAGCGUGUUUUGUCCUAGACAUUCGUGUGUCUUGCGCCGAGCGUGUUUUGUCGUAGACAUUUGUGUGUCUUGCUCUGAGCGUGUUUUGUCGUAGACAUUCGUGUGUCUUGCUCCGAGCGUGUUUUGUCGUAGACAUUCACGUGUCUUGCUCCGAGCGUGUUUUGUCGUAGACAUUCGUGUGUCUUGCUCCGAGCGUGUUUUGUCGUAGACAUUCGUGUGUCUUGCUCCGAGCGUGUUUUGUCGUAGACAUUCACGUGUCUUGCUCCGAGCGUGUUUUGUCGUAGACAUUCACGUGUCUUGCUCUGAGCGUGGUGCCAUUAUGAUGGCAGAUGGAUCAUGUCUCUCUUUGAAGGCUGCUUGAAGUGAACGUCAGUCUCUCAGAAUGUGUGCUGUUUGAUGGCUGAUGUUCUACCGUCGGAUGUUUUCCUCCUGAUCUUGGCGUCAUGUGGAUCGGGAAGUGUCAGGGUAGCGGAAGGAUGACUGGAGAUCUACAUUCCAUUGUUAGUGUGUUAGUGUGUUGCUGCUUUCCUCCCUCACAGAUAUCUCCUCCUCAUUCUAGAUCUCCUGUCUCUUCUCCCAUAUAGCUUGCCACUCCUCCCAGAGAAGCCUUAGGGAGCACUCAGUAAGCGCACAUACAUAGCACACGAGGAAAGCCCAUGCAGGACCCUCGGAUAACCCACAUAGGACCCUAGGAAAGCACAGGUAGUACAUUAGGAAAGCACAUGAAGGACCUUAGGAAAGCACAUGAAGCCCAUAUAGGACACUGGGAAAGCACAGAUAGUACGUUAGGAAAGCCCAUGUACUGUAGGACACUAGGAAAGCACAUAUAGCACACUAGGAAAGCCCAUGAAGGACCCUCAGAAAGCACAUGCCCUAGGAAAGCCCAUAUAGGACCCUAGGAAAGCCCAGGACAUAUCGGACCCCCCAAACACAUAUAAUGCACUAGGAAAGCACAUUGUAGGGCACUAGAUAGCUGCACCAUAGAGACCAGAGUUACUGUCCUAGAGGUAAACGAUGCUGAAGGAGCUUUAUAAAAAUGACUUAAAUUAUCCACAAGGGGGCAGAGUUUGACUGGAAAUGCCAGAGAGGUGCAGAGGGAUGUGCUGGGGCACAAAAUAGCACAUCUCACAUGUUGGGAUAUACACCACACCCAUACCUUUCCACUUUUAACCUGUAUCAAAUAAAUGUAUUAUCAGCAUAUGAAAAUGAGGCCAUUCAGUAAACAUGAAUGUCACCCCUCCAGUGACUCAGAGGUAAGGGUAGGUGAUGCGUGAUGUUUAACACUAAUGCACAGACGGCUUUCAUUUUUUAAUUUCCGAUGGAGGGUCCUCCAGAGUUCUGGCUCAGGAGGGGUAGAACUCCUGAGAGCAGCGGACUUCUGACCGGGCCUGGGCCAGAUCCGGUGUGAUCGUUUCCACCGGACGCACGCCGGAUCAAAGGCCCGCUUCGCUUCAGCCUUGGAGCGGUGGAACAACCUAGUUUAAGAGAGUAGAAGUCCUUGGCCAUGUAUAGGUUCUGCCUGUGCACUUAAAACAGCGGAUUUCACUAACUAGCUCAUCUAUCUGGCUGAAGAGUUGUGCUAAUUGGAACACACACACAUUGAUCGGACUUUCACGUUCGUCAGCUGUCGUCUAGCAAACACCAGCAAAGCAGAGCAUAGGUCAGGUGUAAUGUCCAUUAUGGGUAUGUUGCCCGUUCCAGAUGCCCUUGGCCGAGGUCAUUAUGGGUGUGUUGCCCGUUCCAGAUGCCCUUGGCCGAGGUCAUGAGGACCGUGUACAGGGGUGGGGUGUUCUCGACUGAGGGUUGAGUCCCGGUGCUGAUGGAAGACGUGUGUGUGUGUGUGUGUGUGUGUGUGUGAUCAGAGUAGAUAAGGUCUUAGGAAAGAGCACUGGACGCAUGCUGGGGAGUCUGAGCUCUGGGUCUUCGGAUGUAACUUACGCUAUGUGCGCUCAUCUCCAGAGUACAGCUUAUGUGAUGUUGUUUUUCUUUUUGAAUCUUUUACUACUUCAGACCAUCAGCACAAUCAGACGUUUUCCAUGACCGAGACCCAAACUUUGCUUAAUCAAUUUUCAAAUGAAAAAACGAUCACCGUCACUUCUCAAGCUGGUAGUAACAAAUGAUUGUCAUUGUAGGUUGAUAUAGAAGUUUCUGUUUGUUUUCCAGGUUUUUAUUUUUUAAUCAGUUGUGUAAAUGGUGGCGAAGACCUCAGUCUUUCCAUUGAGGCGGUUGUGUGAAAUCCAGCAUGUAUUUAUUGCACUUUUGUGAUUUGGGUUUGUUGUCUUUCUUUUCUCGUGACUCCUAAAAGCUGUGAAUUUGUUUUUGUUUUUUUUCAUUGACACUGUAAUGUCAAAGCAGAAUUGUACAUAUGUCACCAGCACAAGAAUGUUUUGUAGUUUCACAACAAAUAUAAAAAUGUUCUUUUCUUCUA
Molecule: long non-coding RNA, 4939 nt
Organism: Alosa sapidissima (American shad)
Lineage: Eukaryota; Metazoa; Chordata; Actinopteri; Clupeiformes; Clupeidae
Exons: 2
Source: RefSeq, a predicted model, not a curated record